CCCUGUUCUCUAGAUUUCUAUUUUGGUCCGUAGCAGCUCAAGUGCAUGACUUUCUCCAGCGUCUGCUCCGUCCGUUUAGCUCUCUCGAGCCUCCCUCUCCUUCUUUCGAUGGUGGUAGAAGACUUUCUAUUGGCCUGACUUAAAGAUCCCUUGCUGCUCUUGGCUCGCUGGUGGAGAGACAGCAAGGCGUAGUUCCAACGGCACAGCCAAAUUUGGUCCUCGAGAGCUUCCACCAUCCCCACUCUCGCUGCCACGAUCAAAGAAGCCUUGCUCGCAGAGGCCAUUUCCUUACCGUUGCACAAGAUGCUGGGGAUUCAAAGAAUAAUCUGGUGGAAGGCAUUAGUGU
This 346-nucleotide long non-coding RNA is filed under the name Elaeis guineensis (African oil palm). RNAcentral describes it as "long non-coding RNA (EGUI_LNC022176)". Lineage: Eukaryota; Viridiplantae; Streptophyta; Magnoliopsida; Arecales; Arecaceae. The record is from RNAcentral.